RNAcentral lists this ribosomal RNA (445 nucleotides) under uncultured bacterium. RNAcentral describes it as "partial 16S ribosomal RNA". It matches the Rfam family "Bacterial small subunit ribosomal RNA", at positions 354 to 796 of the family's 1533-position model. The record is from RNAcentral.
GUGAGGAAUAUUGGUCAAUGGGCGAGAGCCUGAACCAGCCAAGUCGCGUGAAGGAAGAAGGAUCUAUGGUUCGUAAACUUCUUUUGCAGGGGAAUAAAGUGCAGGACGUGUCCUGUUUUGUAUGUACCCUGAGAAUAAGGAUCGACUAACUCCGUGCCAGCAGCCGCGGUAAUACGGAGGAUCCGAGCGUUAUCCGGAUUUAUUGGGUUUAAAGGGUGCGUAGGUGGUUUGAUAAGUCAGCGGUGAAAGUUUGCAGCUUAACUGUAAAAAUGCCGUUGAAACUGUCGGUCUUGAGUGUAAAUGAGGUAGGCGGAAUGCGUGGUGUAGCGGUGAAAUGCAUAGAUAUCACGCAGAACUCCGAUUGCGAAGGCAGCUUACUAAGCUACAACUGACACUGAAGCACGAAAGCGUGGGGAUCAAACAGGAUUAGAAACCCUGGUAGUCC